Molecule: long non-coding RNA, 453 nt
Filed under: Salmo salar (Atlantic salmon)
Lineage: Eukaryota; Metazoa; Chordata; Actinopteri; Salmoniformes; Salmonidae
Description: lncRNA (ENSSSAG00000115310.1)
Source: RNAcentral
GUGGAGCAGCGUGGUGGGGUUGGGGGGAGACCACAAGCUGGAGCAGCGUGGUGGAGUUGGGGGGCAGACCACAAGGUGGAGCAGCGUGGGGCCAUUUGGGACACAGACGUGGAAGGAUGUGAAAAACAAAAUGGCCAACCUUGAGUCUUUAAUACAGGAAAAGCACAUUUUAGAACAAAGCUUUGAAAAAACAUUUAGAAGCUCACUGUCUCUCUGAGGUGUUCAGGGAAAAUAAGAACAAUUUAUAGUCUAUAGCAGGGACGUUCAACUCUGACCCCUGGAGGUCCAGAGCAUGCUGCUUUUCUGUUCUACCUGCUAAUUCAUUGCAACCACCUGAUGUCCCAGGUCUAAAUCAGUCCCUGAUUAGAGGGGAACAAUGAAACAAAGCAGUGGAACUGGCUUCCAGGUUCAGAGUUGAGUUUGAGGGCCUUUCUUUCUUCAGACCUGUAGGAC